AUGACAAUUGUUUCAGAAACAACACCCUUUUCAGUACAUCAAUUCUGCUUUUUCUUGUCAAGAAACAACACCCUUUUCAGUACAUCAUCUGCAAAUUUGAUUCACUUAGUGUUACUCCUAACUGAAUUCCUUUGGCAUUGUGAAAGAAAGAGAACUCGAGCCAAGGUGAUGGUGAUGGAAAUGAAUGAAAAAAAGAGAAGCUGGAGUGCCUACCACAAAGAUGAGCAGAAGCAGGGGAGUUCGCUGGGAUGGAGGCGCUGGUGGCCUGGCCGUGGCCGUGGAGGAGGUGGGGGCGGAGGAGUUGAGCGAUGGCCAGGGCUAGGCGGGGCAGGAGAGGAGCGCUGGCCUGGAGGAGCCCGACGGAGAAGCAGGGGCGACGAGGGGCCUGGCGGAGGGCCAAAGAGGAGCGCUGGCCUGGAGGAGGGCCAAAGAGGAGCGCUGGCCUGGAGGAGCCCGGCGGAGGGGAAAGAGGAGCGCUGGCCUGGAGGAGCCCGGCGGAGGGGCGCUGGCCUGGAGGAGCCCGACGGAGGGGCCUGUUGCAGCGCUGCCUCGCGGAUGGAGGAGGAAGACGAUCUGUUUUCAAACUAG
This 588-nucleotide ribosomal RNA is filed under the name Triticum aestivum (bread wheat). RNAcentral's name for it is "partial small subunit ribosomal RNA". Lineage: Eukaryota; Viridiplantae; Streptophyta; Magnoliopsida; Poales; Poaceae. The record is from RNAcentral.